AUUGAACGCUGGCGGCAGGCCUAACACAUGCAAGUCGAGCGGAGCGGCGGACGGGUGAGUAAUGCCUAGGAAUCUGCCUGUUAGUGGGGGAUCACGUCCGGAAACGGGCCCUAAUACCGCAUACUAUCAGAUGAGCCUCGGGCGGAUUAGCUAGUUGGUGGGGUAAAGGCCUACCAAGGCGACGAUCCGUAACUGGUCUGAGAGGAUGAUCAGUCACACUGGAACUGAGACACGGUCCAGACUCCUACGGGAGGCAGCAGUGGGGAAUAUUGGACAAUGGGCGAAAGCCUGAUCCAGCCAUGCCGCGUGUGUGAAGAAGGUCUUCGGAUUGUAAAGCACUUUAAGUUGGGAGGCGGUACCAACAGAAUAAGCAACGGCUAACUCCGUGCCAGCCGCCGCGGUAAUAC
This 407-nucleotide ribosomal RNA is filed under the name uncultured bacterium. RNAcentral's name for it is "partial 16S ribosomal RNA". It matches the Rfam family "Bacterial small subunit ribosomal RNA", at positions 30 to 526 of the family's 1533-position model. The record is from RNAcentral.